GGCUCCCAACAAAAAGUUGCCCUGGGCCUUCCACUAGACUUCACCAACCUGGGCAAGUCAGAAGCUAUAAGAAAGUCUGCCUGGGAACUCUGAUUCCAGAGCUGAUCUGGUACCAUUAUGAUGAUGCAGACAUGUGAGACUUGCAGAGAGGGAAGAAAGUAGUUCAAAUGAGCCGACCAGGAGGGGGCAAUUACUGAACUGUAAAAAAAUAAAAGUAACAACAACAACAACAACAAAAAGCCUUUGCAGUAUUUAACUUAUAAAAUAAUGAUUGGAGCUGUGAAUCUGUAAAGAGCUAUUCAAGGUCUCUAUCUAGAACAUUCAGGACAAGGAAAGACUAUGGUUCUAGUGUCAUUGCUGUUGCUGUGAUAAAAUGUCCUGACCAAUACAACUUAGAGAAGAAAGAUCACUGCAGGAGAGCCAGUCACAUGGCAUCCAGAGUCAAAGGAAGAAAGAAAUGAGUGCAUUUGUGCCACCCUCCCUCUACACCUCCCCCUUCCUCUCUCCUUUCUGCUGCUGCUUCUGCUGCUGCUCAUGCUCAGCUGGCCUUUUACAUUUUUCCACACUAUGAAAUGGUAACACCUACAUGUAGUAAGAAUUUGGUUUCAUAAAAAACCCAGUUAUGUUAUGUGAUUAUGUUUUUGUUUUAAUCCCAUGGGUGUAGGUUUAGAGUUCUCAAGUGCUUUGAUCCCCUGCCACUUCUACCCUACCAUCUAAAGGUUGGGAAGAAAGAUGGUAAAUAGGACAAGGGGAUAUGGACCUGUUUAGAAGUAGUUCUUUGGGGUAAUUCCAAUCUCUGUUUGUUAGGAUACCAACAAUGCAGUUCAAAAGUGCCACCAAACAUGAAUCAGCAAUGAAUGACAGCAGAAACUGCCAGGCCUCUGACAAAUUGUCAUGAGUCAGCAAGAGUGACCAGGACCAGCUGGAAUGUCAGGAGUUCUCUGCUGUGCCUCUCUCAACAAAGUGAAGAUCAGCGAAGACACAAGACCAACGAAGCUUUGCAAGGAUAGUUAUGACAAGAAGCUGAAGCAAGAAGAGGUGAAUGGAGACUGUGCAUGCCUAUAAAAAGGAGACAUGGGGUUUUCCCAGCUGCUUCUUACUAUCUGGGUUACAGAUGUGUCCUGAUCAGUGAAUUCCUGGAUUACAGAAAGGAUGUGUUGAGCUUCUCCGUACAUUCCUGAAUCCCACGGACUUUGCUUGGGUCCCGUAGACUCUUAAAGACUGCAUCAACCAUGGGACUAUGUGUAGCUCCUAAACAGGAAUCAGAUUUGUCAGUAGAGAUAUGACAAUUACUGACAGAGCAGGUUCUGAAGUGCCUGUCUGAUGUAGAGUAUUGCUGAGAUAGUGAAAAACCACUACUGAAAAAAUGCUGUUCAAUUUUUUAUCAAAAUCUUGGUGUUACCAUGUUUCAUGAUCAUGUUUUUCUAGAAUUCUAAUUUAUAAUUAUAACCCCAAGAGUGAUAUACCAUUAUGUAUUUUAACACUAGCAAUAAAGUACUAUUUAGGUUUUUUGUUUUAAAAGGAAGUAGCAACAGAGAUGAUGAAAUGAACCAGUAAUAAAACUUAAAAUAAAUUAGUUGUGGAUUUACCAGUUGUACUGGCUGGUUUUGUGUGUCAACUUGACAAAUGCUAGAGUUAUCACAGAGGAAGGAGCUUCAGUUGGGGAAGUGCCUCCAUGAGAUCCAGCUGUGGGGUAUUUUCCCAAUUAGUGAUCAAGGAGGAAAGGCACCUUGUGGGUGGGACCAUCUCUGGACUGGUAGUUUUGGUUCUAUAAGAGAGCAGGCUGAGCAAGCCAGGCGAAGCAAGCCAGUAAAGAACAUCUCUCCAUGGCCUCUGCAUCAGCUCCUGCUUCCUGACUUGCUUAAGUUCUAGUCCUACUUCCUUAGUGAUGAACAGCAGUAUGGAAGUGUAAACUGAAUAAACCCUUUCCUCCUCAA
Mus musculus (house mouse) is the source of this 1937-nucleotide long non-coding RNA. RefSeq annotates it as predicted gene, 46490. The record is from RefSeq and is a predicted model, not a curated record. NCBI's taxonomy places the organism in Eukaryota, Metazoa, Chordata, Mammalia, Rodentia, Muridae. The transcript has 3 exons.